UCCUCAAUAGCUCAGUCGGUAGAGCAUGCGACUGUUAAUCGCAGGGUCGUUGGUUCGAGUCCAACUUGGGGAGCCA
This 76-nucleotide transfer RNA is filed under the name Hydrogenoanaerobacterium saccharovorans. Its description in RNAcentral is "tRNA-Asn". It matches the Rfam family "tRNA". Rfam says of the family: Transfer RNA (tRNA) molecules are approximately 80 nucleotides in length. Their secondary structure includes four short double-helical elements and three loops (D, anti-codon, and T loops). Lineage: Bacteria; Bacillati; Bacillota; Clostridia; Eubacteriales; Oscillospiraceae. RNAcentral also lists the same sequence under 12 other names. The record is from RNAcentral.